This 21-nucleotide non-coding RNA is filed under the name Rattus norvegicus (Norway rat). Lineage: Eukaryota; Metazoa; Chordata; Mammalia; Rodentia; Muridae. The record is from RNAcentral.
GAAUAUGAUGUUUUGAUUGGU